RNAcentral lists this ribosomal RNA (499 nucleotides) under uncultured bacterium. RNAcentral's name for it is "partial 16S ribosomal RNA". It matches the Rfam family "Bacterial small subunit ribosomal RNA", at positions 28 to 507 of the family's 1533-position model. The record is from RNAcentral.
GACGAACGCUGGCGGCGUGCCUAAUACAUGCAAGUCGAGCGAAGUUUUUCUGGUGCUUGCACUAGAAAAACUUAGCGGCGAACGGGUGAGUAACACGUAUAGAACCUGCCUCAUAGACUGGGACAACUAUUGGAAACGAUAGCUAAUACCGGAUAACAGUAUUUCUCGCAUGAGAGAUAUUUAAAAGUUGGUUAUGCUAACACUAUGAGAUGGCUUUGCGGUGCAUUAGCUAGUUGGUGGGGUAAAGGCCCACCAAGGCGACGAUGCAUAGCCGACCUGAGAGGGUGAUCGGCCACACUGGGACUGAGACACGGCCCAGACUCCUACGGGAGGCAGCAGUAGGGAAUCUUCCGCAAUGGGCGAAAGCCUGACGGAGCAACGCCGCGUGAGUGAAGAAGGAUUUCGGUUCGUAAAGCUCUGUUGUUAGGGAAGAAUGGAUAUGUAGUAACUAUACAUGUAAGAGACGGUACCUAACCAGAAAGCCACGGCUAACUACGUG